AUGGGGGAGGGGAGCGGGUGACCUUAUCAGAAAUGCAGAUUCCUGGGCCCCACCCCAGACGGACCGAAUUAAGAGUCCCAGAGUGACGGCAGAAAUCUCCAUUUUUGACGGGCUCCCGCUGGGAUUCGGGUGUCUGCUCAUCUGGAAGCCUCCAUGCUGGAGAGGUAGUCAGCACAGCGCACGCAGGGCGUAGGCGUGUUUUCUCGUCCCUCCCUCGCAACCAUAGUCCCGCUCAAGGCGUGGGGGUGUCACCCGAGACCCGGGCCUCCCCUGCACUUUCCUUUAGGCCGAAACCGCGAGCCUUCGCUUCAGUGUCGCUUUUCCUUCGCCGCCGCCGCCGACGCCGCCGCCGCUGCCGCUCUUCUCAGGACCUAGAUCGACUGCCCAGUCGGCUGAGCUGGGCCCUGGGCCACCGAGGCCCGGGGAGCUGAGGGGCUCGGGACCCUGCGAGCCGCUUAAGAAAGGACCGCAAGAACCGAAUGCAGUGAACUGCGAGAGCAGGGAAUGAGAGACAAGUUAAACCGUUUAGCAAAAAAAAAUAAGAGACAUGAUGGAGGCAGAAAAUAAAUUGUAGGGGGGAGGGAAAAAAGCGUUACGACUCCGCCGGGACUCGAACCCGGAACCUUUGAAUGCCUUCAGCCUCUAGAAGUCCAAUGCGCUAUCCAUUGCGCCACGGAGCCACCUGUUGGAGUCUCAGCGCAUCUGCUGUGUUAAGCCAGAGGCGACGGCCGCGCGCUCUUCCGACCGCCCCUCCCGUCGUCAGUGUCACCGAGACCCAGCCGCCGCGCUCAGGGCACUGCCAUCCGCCUCAAACGCCGGCCGCAGGCUCUCGGUCUCCCCGCAGUGGUCGCCCCUCAACAAGGGAGACAUUACCUCAUCCCUCAAGAUUGCUCGCUGCAAACACAACGCUGAGAAAUGGCCCAAGUAAAGCGUGAUCAGGGUCUUGCAUUCUUGGCACAUCUAGGAAGAACGUGCAAGGAUGCGAAUUGUGAAUCGCUUCUCCAAACAGGAACAAUGGAGGCCUGCGAUUUGGAGUUAAACUCUCGGUGAUCUCUGUGUUGACAACACCAAAGCUAGAGGAAUCCAGUAGGAUGUGGGCAUGGUUUUCCCGGAAGGCUGACUGAGCAGUUCUGCAAAUGUUUGCAAGUACAGGGCAGAAUUUCAUCCAGCCUCGGAACCUUGAGCCAAGACUCAGCAUCAGCAAAGCCAAAAGUUUCAUUUCUUCAACUGUGGGAGUGCUAGUCCCACCCUUUAGAUGGCCAUUCAGUUUUAAGUUCAAUAAGCAUUUUGAUUGAGAAAUACUUUGCUGAGGAGUGAAAAGUCCUUGGCUUUGAAAGACGAAUGAUGAGCAGUUCAGUGGCCCAUGUCACAGUCCAGGCACCUGCCGAAGGUGACUCCUUGGGAGGAGCAUCUUAGUCACAGAGCCAGUGCCUGCUGUAGGUGUGCAGAAGGGUGCGUGUGUGUGUGUGUGUGUAUGUGUACGUGUACAUGUGUGUUGGGGGAAGGGAGCAAGGUUAUGGGAGCAUUUCUUAUCUGCUCUCCUCUGCAAGAUUUCCUGUGAUUUAAGUCACAUUAAAGUACCCAUAAGCCCAUAAUGCAAAAGAACCCCAAAACCAGCCCAGCAGCCAACCAUGGCAGCAAGUAGAUGCUCUGGUCUUUAGAUAGUCAGAAAUGACACUUCUGGGCUCUCAGGCAGUCAGUGGGUUGAGCUCCCCAUUAAAGUCCCCCUGCCAAGUCUGGAAUAGUCCUAGUCCCGUGUGUGUGUGUGUGUGUGUGUGUGUGUGUGUGUACCCGCGUGCAUAUGCGCGCAUGCAGUGCAGGGUCUGCAUACCUAAAGCAGAUGAAAUUCUGCAGAAUGGCUGCCUCACUAGACAAAGUCAAGAAGACAGACCGAGGAGAGAGAGGUUGAUGUGUCUCCACUACCAAGAGAUAGGCUUCUCUAAGCCAGCAAGACAUCCCAUCCAACAAUAUGAAACUGGCCACAUUUCCUUGAGAUGUCAACGUUGAAAGUGUAGCUGCAUCUUUAUUCUUCACUGUUAUGAAGUUGGGUGCAACAUAGCUUGAGUGGAAUACAAAAACACCGCUUGGAAACACAUGAUCUGGAUUUGAAUCGCAGCUGUAUCAUUCACCU
This 2131-nucleotide long non-coding RNA is filed under the name Pan troglodytes (chimpanzee). RNAcentral describes it as "long non-coding RNA NONPTRT001152". Lineage: Eukaryota; Metazoa; Chordata; Mammalia; Primates; Hominidae. The record is from RNAcentral.